This 449-nucleotide ribosomal RNA is filed under the name uncultured bacterium. RNAcentral describes it as "partial 16S ribosomal RNA". It matches the Rfam family "Bacterial small subunit ribosomal RNA", at positions 29 to 523 of the family's 1533-position model. The record is from RNAcentral.
AACGAACGCUGGCGGCAUGCCUAACACAUGCAAGUCGAACGAGAUCUUCGGAUCUAGUGGCGCACGGGUGCGUAACACGUGGGAAUCUGCCCUUUGGUUCGGAAUAACUCAGGGAAACUUGAGCUAAUACCGGAUGAUGACGUAAGUCCAAAGAUUUAUCGCCAAAGGAUGAGCCCGCGUAGGAUUAGCUAGUUGGUGAGGUAAAGGCUCACCAAGGCUACGAUCCUUAGCUGGUCUGAGAGGAUGAUCAGCCACACUGGGACUGAGACACGGCCCAGACUCCUACGGGAGGCAGCAGUGGGGAAUAUUGGACAAUGGGGGAAACCCUGAUCCAGCAAUGCCGCGUGAGCGAUGAAGGCCUUAGGGUUGUAAAGCUCUUUUACCCGGGAUGAUAAUGACAGUACCGGGAGAAUAAGCCCCGGCUAACUCCGUGCCAGCAGCCGCCGUAA